This 759-nucleotide ribosomal RNA is filed under the name Triticum aestivum (bread wheat). RNAcentral describes it as "partial small subunit ribosomal RNA". Lineage: Eukaryota; Viridiplantae; Streptophyta; Magnoliopsida; Poales; Poaceae. The record is from RNAcentral.
CCCUUGCAACCCCCUCCCCACCUUCCUCCAGGCACUGUAAUCGUCCCGCCUAGUCAGUUUCGUGCUCGCCGUGGAUAUGUGGUGCUUAGUGGUGAGCUCCUGAUGGUCUGCGACGAGUGGGCCAUCGCCACACUCGUUCCUGAAGUUUCUGCUGAGGAGUUUCAUGGCGCCAUUGCUCUGAUCACCACCUACUUGGAGGGGCACGGUUGGCGCAUAAACUACACGUCACGCUGUGGUAUGGGUAUUGCGCUUAUUCAGUUUACUACUGCAUGUUCGCGCGACACUGCUGUCAGUCUUAGUCUGUUUCAGAUUGGGGAAUCUGUUCUUAGAAUCAGCAGACAGGACAGAGGUUUAAAUUAUCGCAGCAUUACUUUCACGCAUGAUGUUUGGAUCUUACUUAUGAACUACCCUCUUGAGUGCUGGGAUGUGGGGGUCAUUGGACGCAUUGUUUCUCCUUAUGGCCGUUUCUUGAUUUGGAAUAAAGAUCCUAGGGACAAAUCGAGGGUCGUGGUUAAGAUCAGAGUUAUGAAUGUGGAUACUAUUCCCAUUAGCCUGGUUGUUUUGAGCAACCUCGAUGAUGUGGGCUAUGGCGAUUCCUAGACCUGUCCAACAUACAUUCUGUCUCGGGAGCUGAUUGGACAGCAGGGAGGGGAUGAGGUCCCUCUGCCACCUGAUGGUGGCAACCCUCACCCUCUUCCUCAUAUUCAUGGAGGGUUUUGGCAUGAUGAGGUUUUAGGGAAUAUCCCAUGGAUCAGGUAG